AUCUUUAUUCUCGUCCGAUUAAUUAGUUAGACAAAAGAACUAUCAGACCGUGAGGUAAAUGCUUUGAUCA
Molecule: transfer RNA, 70 nt
Filed under: Bupleurum smithii
Lineage: Eukaryota; Viridiplantae; Streptophyta; Magnoliopsida; Apiales; Apiaceae
Description: partial tRNA-Leu
Source: RNAcentral